RNAcentral lists this ribosomal RNA (467 nucleotides) under uncultured bacterium. RNAcentral's name for it is "partial 16S ribosomal RNA". It matches the Rfam family "Bacterial small subunit ribosomal RNA", at positions 28 to 507 of the family's 1533-position model. The record is from RNAcentral.
GACGAACGCUGGCGGCGUGCUUAACACAUGCAAGUCGAACGGAAAGGCCUCUUUCGGGCGGUACUCCAGUGGCGAACGGGUGAGUAACACGUGAGUAACCUGCCCUUGACUUUGGGAUAACUUCUGGAAACUGCGGCUAAUACCGGAUAGGAGCUCCUGCUGCAUGGUGGGGGUUUGAAAGUUUUGGGCGUUUGGGAGUGACUCCAGGCUCAGUAGCUUUUUUGUUGGGUAGUUGCUUACCAAGGCUUUGACCGGUAGGCGGCCUGGGGGGGGGGACGGGCAAAUUGGGGCGGAGAUACCGCCCCGAAUUCUCAGGGAGGGCGCAGUGGGGGACAUUGGACAAUUGGGGGAAGGCUGAUGGAGGAACGGCGUGGGCGGGAUGAAGGGCUUUGGGUUGUAAAACGCUUUCGAUCAUGAAGAAGGUUUAUGUGACGGUAGCGGCUGAAGAAGCGCCGGCUAACUACGUG